This 564-nucleotide ribosomal RNA is filed under the name Acinetobacter calcoaceticus. RNAcentral's name for it is "bacterial SSU rRNA". It matches the Rfam family "Bacterial small subunit ribosomal RNA", at positions 142 to 700 of the family's 1533-position model. The record is from RNAcentral. RNAcentral also lists the same sequence under 1 other name. Lineage: Bacteria; Pseudomonadati; Pseudomonadota; Gammaproteobacteria; Moraxellales; Moraxellaceae.
GACAACAUUUCGAAAGGAAUGCUAAUACCGCAUACGUCCUACGGGAGAAAGCAGGGGAUCUUCGGACCUUGCGCUAAUAGAUGAGCCUAAGUCGGAUUAGCUAGUUGGUGGGGUAAAGGCCUACCAAGGCGACGAUCUGUAGCGGGUCUGAGAGGAUGAUCCGCCACACUGGGACUGAGACACGGCCCAGACUCCUACGGGAGGCAGCAGUGGGGAAUAUUGGACAAUGGGCGCAAGCCUGAUCCAGCCAUGCCGCGUGUGUGAAGAAGGCCUUAUGGUUGUAAAGCACUUUAAGCGAGGAGGAGGCUACUGAAGUUAAUACCUUCAGAUAGUGGACGUUACUCGCAGAAUAAGCACCGGCUAACUCUGUGCCAGCAGCCGCGGUAAUACAGAGGGUGCAAGCGUUAAUCGGAUUUACUGGGCGUAAAGCGCGCGUAGGCGGCUAAUUAAGUCAAAUGUGAAAUCCCCGAGCUUAACUUGGGAAUUGCAUUCGAUACUGGUUAGCUAGAGUGUGGGAGAGGAUGGUAGAAUUCCAGGUGUAGCGGUGAAAUGCGUAGAGAUCUG